RNAcentral lists this ribosomal RNA (253 nucleotides) under uncultured prokaryote. Its description in RNAcentral is "partial 16S ribosomal RNA". It matches the Rfam family "Bacterial small subunit ribosomal RNA", at positions 525 to 777 of the family's 1533-position model. The record is from RNAcentral.
ACAGAGGGGGCAAGCGUUGUUCGGAAUUACUGGGCGUAAAGGGCGCGUAGGCGGCCUGUUAAGUCGGACGUGAAAUCCCUCGGCUCAACCGGGGAACUGCGUCCGAUACUGGCGAGCUAGAGUGCGGUAGAGGAUAGUGGAAUUCCUGGUGUAGCAGUGAAAUGCGUAGAGAUCAGGAGGAACAUCCGUGGCGAAGGCGACUGUCUGGACCAGCACUGACACUGAGGCACGAAAGCGUGGGGAGCAAACAGGA